AACGAACGCUGGCGGCGCGCCUAAUACAUGCAAGUCGAGCGAGAAGACGUAGCAAUACGUUUGUAAAGCGGCGAACGGGUGAGGAAUACAUGGGUAACCUACCCUCGAGUGGGGAAUAACUAGCCGAAAGGUUAGCUAAUACCGCAUACGAUUCCCGGACUGCGGUUCGGGAAGGAAAGCGAUACCGUGGGUAUCGCGCUCUUGGAUGGGCUCAUGUCCUAUCAGCUUGUUGGUGAGGUAAUGGCUCACCAAGGCUUCGACGGGUAGCUGGUCUGAGAGGACGAUCAGCCACACUGGCACUGCGACACGGGCCAGACUCCUACGGGAGGCAGCAGUAAGGAAUAUUGCGCAAUGGACGAAAGUCUGACGCAGCGACGCCGCGUGGGGGAUGAAGGUCUUCGGAUUGUAAACCCCUUUCGGCAGGGAAGAUGGAACGGGUAACCGUUCGGACGGUACCUGUAGAAGCAGCCACGGCUAACUUCGUGCCAGCCGCCGCAGUAA
Molecule: ribosomal RNA, 501 nt
Filed under: uncultured bacterium
Lineage: Bacteria
Description: partial 16S ribosomal RNA
Rfam family: Bacterial small subunit ribosomal RNA
Source: RNAcentral